CAGCCGCCGCGGUAAUACGUAGGUGGCAAGCGUUGUCCGGAAUUAUUGGGCGUAAAGCGCACGUAGGCGGUUAUUCAGGUCAGAGGUGAAAGCCCGGGGCCCAACCCCGGAACUGCCUUUGAAACUAGAUGACUGGAAUCUUGGAGAGGUCAGUGGAAUUCCGAGUGUAGAGGUGAAAUUCGUAGAUAUUCGGAAGAACACCAGUGGCUGAGGCGACUGACUGGACAAGUAUUGACGCUGAGGUGCGAAAGCGUGGGGAGCAAACAGGAUUAGAUACCCGCGUAGUCCCUGUCUCUUAUAC
This 301-nucleotide ribosomal RNA is filed under the name uncultured bacterium. RNAcentral's name for it is "partial 16S ribosomal RNA". It matches the Rfam family "Bacterial small subunit ribosomal RNA", at positions 509 to 807 of the family's 1533-position model. The record is from RNAcentral.